This 88-nucleotide transfer RNA is filed under the name Faucicola atlantae. Its description in RNAcentral is "Moraxella atlantae tRNA". It matches the Rfam family "tRNA". Rfam says of the family: Transfer RNA (tRNA) molecules are approximately 80 nucleotides in length. Lineage: Bacteria; Pseudomonadati; Pseudomonadota; Gammaproteobacteria; Moraxellales; Moraxellaceae. The record is from Rfam by way of RNAcentral.
GGUGAAAUGGCUGAGUGGUCGAAAGCGCACGCCUGGAAAGUGUGUAUACGUGAAUAGCGUAUCGAGGGUUCGAAUCCCUCUUUCACCG